CAGAAGGCUCACAGUAGAUGUGAAAGCUGAGAGCAUGCAGGGAAAUCACUGGCAGCAGGUUGGGUCAUGGACAGAGACACAUGGAUACAGUGAGAGCAUUCCAAGCUCAUUGAGUCACCAGGAGAUCGAUUUACCAGCCCAGAAGGUCACUGAAGAUUCAGCCCAGAGAAAAGAGUGUCUGGGAGUCUGAAGACCCAGCUAGGGCAAACACAGGUGAGGGUGGGGAGUACCACCAUCUUAGAGGUGAAGCUGGAAAAACGUGGUGAGAUGGAUUCAUACUGUACAAGAUGUGAGGAAUAUCCUUUUUAUCACAAGAAAGACUAUGAGAAUCCACCAAUGGAGGAGUGGCUAUUCACAAAGAUCUCAGAAACUGAGCAAUAUCAGGCCUGAAUGGCAACAGAUGGUUGGAGAAGAGGCCUCCUGAACACCAGGUGCCAUAGCCUCUUAAAAGGAGGAAGAAAUGAAAAGAAAAGGGAAGCGGCAAGGGGAAAGGAGGCAAGAAAGUGGGUACAUGUGCUGUAUGGGUAUGGGAGGGAAACUACGAAGAGAGUUCUUGCCCUUUAGAUAGACAAAGACUGCAAAUCAGACACAAAAAUCUGCUAAAGAAUGUUUGUAAGUUCAAUUUCAUCAAAAUUAAAACUUUUAGUUCAUCAAAAGAUUCAGGUUGCCGGGUGGUGGUGGUGCACGCCUUUAAUCCCAGCACUCGGGAGGCAGAGGCAGGAGGAUCUCUAUGAGUCCGAGACCAGCCUUGUCUACAAGACCUAGUUCCAGGACAGCCUCCAAAGCCACAGAGAAAUCCUGUCUUGAAAACACACACACACACACACACACACACACACACACACACACACACACACACACAAAACAACAACAACAAAGAUUCAAGUUAAGCAAAAAGAACAGAUACAGCGCAUUGUCAACCUCUGCAGUGUGUCCAUGAUGGUGUUUCCUGAAAGGCUUAACUGAGGUGAGGUGAGAAGUGCUAUCCUGGAUGAGGGCAGUGCCGGUCCAGAGACUGGAGUUCUAGCUUGAAUGAAAAGAAGAAAGUGAACUGAACACCAGCAUUCAUCCUCUGCUUCUCCGCUGCCCUCAAGGUGACCAGACAUUCCAAGCUCCUGUGGCCACACCUUCCUUGCCACGAGGAUUGCACUGCUUAACUAUGAGCCAAAACAAAUACUCUUUCCCUGAAGUUGCUUUUGUCUGGUAUUUUGUCACAGCUGUGAGAAAAGUCAGUAAUGCACAAAGUGAGAAAUAGAUUCAUAUCACAUGUAACAGUAAAGGGGCCUAUUCUGGAGACAUAAAGAAUUAUACAAGUAAAAACAGGGAGCCCAAAUGAAAAAACACAAGCACAAUCCUGAACAGGCAAGUUCCUCGUGAUGGUAGGGUGGAAUUUUAGUAUUUCUGUGAUAAACCACCACCAAAAGCAGGGUGGUGGAGGAAAGGGUUAUUUCAGCUUACAGCUACUGUCCAUCAUACAUAGGCAGGAACCUAGAGGCAGAAACUGAAGCAGAGGCCAUAGAAAAUCCACAUAGCAGCUUGAUAUGUUUUCCUCACUCUGUUUUCUUAUAUACCCAGGACCAACUGCCUAGGGGGCUGGGCCCUCUCACAUCAAUCAUAGGUCAAGGAGACAUCCCCACAGACUUGCCUACAAGCUACUCUGAUGGAGGCAUCUUCUCAAUUAAGGUUCCUUCUUCCCUUGACAAAAACUAACCAGCACAAAUGAUCAGUGAACAUAGAAAUUCUGUCAGUCAUCAGGGACACAAAUGGAGAGCAGAAUGAGGUUCAGCUUAGUUCUCUUAAGAAUAAGAAUGGAUAAUGUCAGGCCAUACCUGGUGUUGGUGAGCUUGUGGAAGCUGGAACUCUUCCAUAGACACUGCUGAUGGGGAUGAAAAUGGAGCAACCAUGGGGGAGGAGAGAUGACUGCCACAUCUACUAAAACAGAGUUUGUACAAAGUCCAUUCCUGGUAGAAAUGAGGACGUGAGUUCAUUGAAGACAAACACAAAAUAUACCCAUUGCAGCACUGUUCAUUUGUGACAAUCCCAGAUAAAAACAGUUCAGCUGGCCCUCAAGAGUGGCACAGUUAUAAAUGGUUGUUUGCUCAUAGAAUGGAAUGCUCCACUCCAUGGAAAAAAAUUAACCACUAUUAUACAUGACAUUGGUGAUUCUCUCAAAUAUAAUGCCAAGUGAAUGAAGCCAAUUACCAAAAAAGUACAUCUUGAUCUAUGUACUGGCUGGUUUUGUGUGUCAAUUUGACAAAAGCUCGAGUCAUCAGAGAGGAAAGGGCCUCAGUGAGGCAAACGCCUCCAUGAGAUCCAGCUGUAAGGCAUUUUCUCAAUUAGUGGUCAAUGGGGGAAGGUCCAGCCCAUGGUGGGUGGUACCAUCCCUGGUAAUCCUGGCUUUUAAAAGAAAACAGGCUGAGAAAGCCAUGUGAAGCAGCACCCUUCCAUGACUUCUGUAUCAGCUUCUGCCUGCAGGAUCCUGCCCUGUGUUUAUUGCCUGUGGUAAUGAACAGCAACGUGGAAGUGUAAGCUGAAUAAACCCUUUCCUUCCCAACUUGCUUUUUGGUCGUGGUGUUUUGUUGCAGCAAUAGAAACCCCAACUACGACAAUUUGAUUCUAUGCAUGUAAAGUUCAAAGCCCAGCAAAACUGAUCUAUGGUGUUCCAUUGCACAGUGGUGGCCCCUUUAAGAGGAAGGAGGAAGCAGAAGCAUGGAAGGAAAGCAAGAGAGCUGUGGUUGCUGGCAAUGUUUUACUUCUUGACCUGCUGGCAUUUCAUGUGGUGGAACAUGCAAGCUGGAUAGUGAUUUCUUUUCAACAUUCAUACCAACUUUGGAAAAGAAGAAUCACAAAUAACAAAGCCUGAGCUUCCCUGACCCAAACACAAAGGAUAUAGAGAGCAGGGCUUUAUCAGCCCAUCUGGGGAGCAGAGGACAUUAAAAUCCCAUCAUUCAUCCUAGAAGUAGGGAAUCUCACCAAAAAUGUGAAAAACCAACCACCUUCUUAUCAGACCUCUUCAACUGAGAUGAUCCCCAAAGGCGGUAGCCAGCUUGCCCUUUACUUCUACUGCAGAAACUCCUGCAGCGUUGUUGACUCCAUCUGAGAGCAUCAAAUCUCAAGAAGGACUGAGCAAGUUCAAGGUGGUGGGUGAGAACUUGCUUUCACUGGAGAGUCACAGCUGACUAAGAGUCACAGCUGGAUGCAGACGGAGAAUGAGAUUCUGGAAGCACAAAGAAUGAAUUCUCACUCCACUCUGGAUAUCUGCCUGGGACCAUGGUUCUUCAGCCAGUGGAAGAAUGCUCAUGAUCAAGACUCCUUCUGUGUAUUCCAGGUCCCUGCUGAACUUCAUAGUCUGGAAGUCUUGGCUGCUCAAAUUUUCUCACAGCCUGUCUUCCUGCAAAACACUCACAGAAAGAACAUAUGGGGCUGGUCUCAAUAUGGAUGCAGCUAAGACAUCAACCAUAGUGGAUCCAGAAUCAUCCCAUCUUUUUGUCCAUGGAUGCCUUGUUAUCAGGUCCAACCUCUUCAUUCUCCAACCCUAUUCCACUGCCAUCUUGUUGAGUGAUCAUGGGCAAAGGUUUAACCUCUCUUGGUUUCGAUGUAGUCACAUGUAAACUAUGUGCUAGAUAGUUUCUGUGUUCCCUCCUGUUCCAGGACUUGGCCCUUUGGAAACAAAGUGCUUUAUCAUUCAGUACACAAGAAGGCACUAACUAGUGCUGUGUCAAGCACUGGCUGCAAGAAACAACAAUUUUUGUUUAUUAAUUGUUAUUUUCUUACUCUUUCUAACAAGCAAUGGUCCUCUCUGACCAUCAGGCUUCUUAGAACCCUUCAGCAGCUUCCCCAUCGUACUUUGUAGAAACAUCAAGACAAAGUGGCAUCCUAUCCUGUGACAUUACCUCACACUUAGUUAAUACACUCCAGAUGCACCAGCUUUCUUUCUGUCUCUCUCUUUCUGGAAUAGGCUGAGCCAUAUCAACUAAAGACUUUUUGCAAGAACUUUUUGUCCUACCAGGAAUGUUCAUCCCCAAGGCAACCUAUGAUUGUCCCUUUCUCAUCAUAUAUGUCCUCAGGGUACCUUGUGAGUUAGUCUCCCCACUUUCAUUUACCUUGUUUUAUUAUGGCUAGUGGAUGAAACCUAUUGUCUAUAGAUUCUUUUGUGCUGCAAGAGCUGGCUGAAUAUUAUGUAUGAGGCAUAGACACAGAGACUGUACCAUCUGCUAGUUGAAAACAUUCAUCAUCUGGUUUAUGUAGGGAAAGAUUUCUAAUCCCUGUAUCCUAUAGUGUCAUUUAUUCACAGUGCAUAUAGUAUUUUAACUGUUAAACCAAACUUCUUCCUAUUUUGUUUGCUUUUAACUUUUUUCCCUAACAAGAAUGUAAAUGCCUUCAAGUUAAGGGACUCAUCUGUCUUGAUCUAGGUGGUUUUAUUAGCCUGACACAAAGCCAAUAAAUAAUGGUAGAACAGAUGGACCAGGUCUAUUUCCUUUUGCUCAACAGAAGCAACAAAAAGUUUAAUAUUCAUCAUAAAAUAAAACUCUCCACCUCCUGGCCUUUACAACAGUCCCAUGAUCCACUGCCAAGCUCUUCUCUACCCCUGCCUCUAAUUCUCAUUAUGUUAAUUUUUUUUUUUUUUUGCUUUGUGCUGACACUCCUAACUGCCAGUAACUUCUUUCCUCUCUCUCUGACAACUCUCUGGCCCAGUUCUUGGCCCUCAGUGAAACUUGCAGCCCUCCAGGCAGAAAUUGAUUGCUAGGAUGCCAAUUCAGGCCAGUACUGCCUCCCUUUUAGAUAUUUAUGGGCAGGGCUCUGAAUUGUGAGGGACUCAUGAACUCAGACACAUUUUUAAGAGAACUUUAUAGUUAAACCUCUGUUUGGCUAAGGGCUUAUUUUUAAAAAUAAUAAAUCUAGGUUCUUAGAGAAUAGAACUCAAGGGGCAGAAGUUUGAAUCUAUAAAGUUCACAUAUCAGUCAUGGAGGAGCCCUUGCAGCCAUCUAGUGUUUCUCAAACUUCUCUAUCUCAGUCCACCUAAUGGUAGAUCUGAAUAUCAUAUCUCCCCACAUGGAAAAAGAGUCAGUGCUUACACUAAAUCUCCAUAAUGUUUUUCACUGCGAUAAUUCAUUAUAACAUUGUGCUGGUUGGUUUUUGUCAACUGGACAUAAACCUAGAUAUACCAGAGGAGAGAGAAUAUAAACUGAAAAAAUUGCAUAUCUCAGAUUUACCCAGGGGUUAUCUGUAGGGUAUUGUGGACUGUGGGGGUAUAGUCUUUAUUAAUGACAGAUGUGAGAGGGCCCAGCUCACUGUGGGCAGUGCCAUCCCUGGGCAAGAAGUCAUGGCUUCUAUAAAGCAGCAGUCUGAGCAAGCCAUGAGGAGCAAUUCAGUAAGCAGCACCCCUCUAUGUCCUCUCCUUCAGUUUCUACCCUUUAUGAUGGACUACAAACUGUAAGCCAAAAUAAACCCUUUCCUUCCAC
This 5462-nucleotide long non-coding RNA is filed under the name Cricetulus griseus (Chinese hamster). RNAcentral describes it as "lncRNA (ENSCGRG00015038192.1)". Lineage: Eukaryota; Metazoa; Chordata; Mammalia; Rodentia; Cricetidae. The record is from RNAcentral.